Molecule: ribosomal RNA, 1073 nt
Filed under: Vibrio sp.
Lineage: Bacteria; Pseudomonadati; Pseudomonadota; Gammaproteobacteria; Vibrionales; Vibrionaceae
Description: bacterial SSU rRNA
Source: RNAcentral
GCAAGUCGAGCGGUAACAGAGAGAAGCUUGCUUCUCUGCUGACGAGCGGCGGACGGGUGAGUAAUGCCUGGGAAAUUGCCCUGAUGUGGGGGAUAACCAUUGGAAACGAUGGCUAAUACCGCAUGAURSYUUCGRSUCAAAGAGGGGGACCUYCDGGCCUCUCGCGUCAGGAUAUGCCCAGGUGGGAUUAGCUAGUUGGUGGGGUAAAGGCUCACCAAGGCGACGAUCCCUAGCUGGUCUGAGAGGAUGAUCAGCCACACUGGGACUGAGACACGGCCCAGACUCCUACGGGAGGCAGCAGUGGGGAAUAUUGCACAAUGGGCGCAAGCCUGAUGCAGCCAUGCCGCGUGUAUGAAGAAGGCCUUCGGGUUGUAAAGUACUUUCAGUGGUGAGGAAGGGRGUGUGGUUAAUAGCCAUAUUCUUUGACGUUAGCCACAGAAGAAGCACCGGCUAACUCCGUGCCAGCAGCCGCGGUAAUACGGAGGGUGCGAGCGUUAAUCGGAAUUACUGGGCGUAAAGCGCAUGCAGGUGGUUUGUUAAGUCAGAUGUGAAAGCCCGGGGCUCAACCUCGGAGUUGCAUUUGAAACUGGCAGGCUAGAGUACUGUAGAGGGGGGUAGAAUUUCAGGUGUAGCGGUGAAAUGCGUAGAGAUCUGAAGGAAUACCGGUGGCGAAGGCGGCCCCCUGGACAGAUACUGACACUCAGAUGCGAAAGCGUGGGGAGCAAACAGGAUUAGAUACCCUGGUAGUCCACGCCGUAAACGAUGUCUACUUGGAGGUUGCGGUCUUGAACUGUGGCUUUCGGAGCUAACGCGUUAAGUAGACCGCCUGGGGAGUACGGUCGCAAGAUUAAAACUCAAAUGAAUUGACGGGGGCCCGCACAAGCGGUGGAGCAUGUGGUUUAAUUCGAUGCAACGCGAAGAACCUUACCUACUCUUGACAUCCAGAGAAUCYUGCGGAGACGCGGGAGUGCCUUCGGGAGCUCUGAGACAGGUGCUGCAUGGCUGUCGUCAGCUCGUGUUGUGAAAUGUUGGGUUAAGUCCCGCAACGAGCGCAACCCUUAUCCUUGUUUGCC